This 2558-nucleotide long non-coding RNA is filed under the name Leguminivora glycinivorella. RNAcentral describes it as "uncharacterized LOC125226629". Lineage: Eukaryota; Metazoa; Arthropoda; Insecta; Lepidoptera; Tortricidae. The record is from RNAcentral.
AUCAUGUAUAUUUCUAUAUUGGCAACAACCCUUGUUGACAGAUGAUUCUCAUUGGAUACAGAACUGUCAUCCAUAUCGAUUCAGUUGCUAGAUCAAUUAAAGUCCUUGCCAUGCGCAAAAACUUAUAUUUGAGACAAACCUAAAAACGUCGUUGUACUAAAAAUGUGCAAUGUCACAAUACCCCUCUCCCUGCUGUAGCGUUUUACCAAGGGUAAAACGCUCGCUGUCCUCAGCGACUACCUAACCAUGUGUCACAAAAGCAAGGAAAACAAAAACAACACACCUCGACCAUACAGAGUAUGGGAGAAACACACAAAAGAAAACCCAGUGAUUGCCGCAGGUAUCGAGAUAAUUUCCAAGAAAUCAAUAAACCAAAAAAAUUCACAAAACCAAAAAUAAUCUAAAUGUCCAAAAUAUUCUCGAACCCGCGCAACACUACAAAAUAAACUAGUGUGGUUCCCGAACCAUAAAAAAAAAUAUAACCCACACUACAAAACCAACCAAACAGAAAACAUUCCUUUGGCUUUACCAACACAACUUUUUAGUUGCGCUGGAAAAACCAAAACCAACAGCCAGGACCGAUGUUCAGCACACCUAAACAUUCUCCGCUAGACCGGGCAAAAUAAAAAUCCAAAAAUGAUUCCUACUUCCAAGUUUACUAUCAUAAACUUGAGAAGCUCAUAAUUUAAUUUAAAAUAAAAUUCCAAUCCGAGAAUAUAAAUCCAUAAUCCAAAAUCAAAAUUCCCUGACGGUUCACCAACAAAAAAAACCAUUCCUCCUAACACACGGUUGAAUUGGCAACAUUGUGCUGUUCCAACUCUUCCGUAAACAAACCAAAACAACAUAACAAACCGUCACGGGGGCCUUCGAGUUGGUGGAACAAAAGACUCCCACCCAACUCUCCGGAUCACAAAAUCCUACACAACUCUGAGGUUGCAACAUGCCCGAGACCUCCGCCGUUUGGUUGAGACUCACCAAAAAAUAUGUAUCGCACGCCAGGCAUGAUUGGCGGCGAUACCCCAAAAACCCGUGCGCCACCCCACCGCCUCCAUGGCAUGGGAAAAGCAGCACGGAACACAAAAUGUACCCACCAGCGAGUACCCGAUCGACACCACAAAAGGCAAGAACCCGGUACGGAGCGCAUCCAAAAGGGGAUGCAAGAAGUAGGCAGUGCGACCGCGCCCUGCCAUACCUCACCACUCCUGGGUAUGGACCUCAUGUCGACCCCAUAUCGCGCCAACACGACGCUCGGGUGUGGUAAGCACCCGCAAAAAAAAACUCCAUCCGAAAAAACAGGCCGUAUCAAGGAUCGCUCAAACUAAAAACAACGAGCCAGAUUGUGUCGCCCCUUUCAUACUUCACGCAUUUCAGAGAACUGUUCCAGGAACCCUUUCAUCCCUCACACAAAACAAAAUAGUAGUGAAAACAGACUUUGCUGUUCACCACGUUCCAUACAUAAAGUCGUGAUUGAAUAUUUUUACCACAAUAUUCAACACUUCAAACGAAACAACCGAAGAGUGACACGAUACGGCGUAAGCGAGGGCGUUAACUUUGGCGGCAAGGUGAAAGCAAAAGAAAACCCGGACCUUGCGUCCAAAGAAAACCUCCACCUCAAACUUACCCAAUAACAAUCUUUAAAUCCUUGAAUACGCCACAAAACCAAAUCCAAGUUUUCACAAAACCAAGCUAAAACAAGCGCCCUUAAAUGAAUCCGCACGUUGCGAGACAUUUAAAUUUAAAACUGGCGCUAAAACCACGUCGUAACUUUAAAUAAAUCUAAACAUAAAACCGAGCGUUUAUUUAACCGCUCAAGUUACGACAAACUUGGAUCAAAAAACACGCAUCCGAACGUACCCCUCGUUGAACUUAUCUUGUCUGUGGUCUGUGCCUUAAAAAAAACUAAAUGUCAACAAAUAUUUAUCGUUACCUACAAAAUUACUAAUAUCUUCCGUUUUUAUUGUGCUACAAAUUAAUAAAACAACACUUAAUUCAACUACAAAAUCAUGGAAGACUAACAUGAGUGUGAUAAACGUUCGAUAAUCUAAAGGAAUGACUAAAAUUUAUUCAGAAAUGCUAACUGGAAUGCAAAUAAUUCUACUACUAACAGCAGAUUACUAGAAACUGUACUAAAUCUUAAGAACCAUAUACCACAAAAGUUACUUGGCAGCAACAGCUUCAACUAGACCACAGACUACAGGAAAUGUCUACAAAAGAAAACCAAAAUAUGAACAUCAGAGGAACAUGGGCACUGAUAAUGUGUUGAAAAGCAUAACUCCUAACGGAAACCUUCCAUUUGCAUGGAGAACAACAUAAACCACUUCGCCGGCAACCAACAACAAUGCAGCUGCCGGACACACAAAACUCAAGCCGUUCCUGCACUUCCAACCAUUACCGGUGUCGUCCCCGACUGAAUUCACCUGUAUAAGUUCAACGGGCACAAAAGUGAAAUUGCCACUGUAUAAUAAGUUUAACUCAAAAGAAACUCAAAUAUGAUGGCACCGACUUACAACUUGAAGUGAUACUGUUGUGUUAUAAUUUAUAAUAAACAAUGUUGAAUU